This 111-nucleotide ribosomal RNA is filed under the name uncultured bacterium. Its description in RNAcentral is "partial 16S ribosomal RNA". It matches the Rfam family "Bacterial small subunit ribosomal RNA", at positions 1389 to 1500 of the family's 1533-position model. The record is from RNAcentral.
ACCGCCCGUCACACCAUGGGAGUCGGGAAUGCCCGAAGUCAGUGACCCAACCUUUGGAGGGAGCUGCCGAAGGCAGGUCUGAUAACUGGGGUGAAGUCGUAACAAGGUACC